UUUGUAGAUCGGAUGAUCGCGGGCCGCAAGGUCUGAGGAAAGUCCGGGCUCCCAGGGUGGGCGUGGCGGGUAACACCCGCUCCCGGUGACGGGCAGAUAAGAGCCACAGUGACGAUGCCUCCUCGAAAGAGGAGGAGUGAAACGGGCAAUCUCCACGUGGAGCAAGGUUAAAUAGGGGAAGAGGACACACCCGUCCGUUGGAUUCCCGGGUAAACCGCAUAGAGGGAUGAUCAUCACUUUGCCUAAGGCGGCAGAGAACAGAACCCGGCUUACAGAUCUACAAAAACC
RNAcentral lists this RNase P RNA (288 nucleotides) under Omnitrophica bacterium RIFCSPHIGHO2_02_FULL_63_14. RNAcentral describes it as "RNase P RNA component class A". It matches the Rfam family "Bacterial RNase P class A". From Rfam's summary of the family: Ribonuclease P (RNase P) is a ubiquitous endoribonuclease, found in archaea, bacteria and eukarya as well as chloroplasts and mitochondria. Lineage: Bacteria; Pseudomonadati; Candidatus Omnitrophota. The record is from RNAcentral.